Long non-coding RNA from Bos indicus x Bos taurus (hybrid cattle), 462 nucleotides. NCBI's taxonomy places the organism in Eukaryota, Metazoa, Chordata, Mammalia, Artiodactyla, Bovidae. The record is from Ensembl.
GAACCCAAAUAGAAAUGUUCACAGCUACCUUGUAAAGCCCAAUCAAAGUGAAACAACCCUUGCUUGUGAGAGAAGAACUGGAUAUCUGAGAAAAGGGAGCCACAUGGUACCUGGGAGCAUGUGAAGCCCAGGGAAGAUCAAGAUUUGUCUGAUCAACACAGGAAGGCGACUUUGAGGAAGGAGAAGCUGGUAGUGUUAAAUCACAAACUCACAAUCCUUUGAGCAUGGAGAUAUCGCAUAGGCAACGAUACACCAAACUCCCCACCCAAGUACCUUCUUUGUCACCUAACCAGGGAUUAUCACAAAGGCCAGUCCUGAAAUACACAGGUGUUUUGAAAGCAAUGAAAUUACUCAGUCCAAAUGAAUAGCUACACCAUGCUGACAUUGCUCCUCUGGGGUAAGGAGUUGACUCUUGUUCCAUUUGUUCCCCAUAAACAGAGCAAAUGUAUUUCUAGGUUUAUU